RNAcentral lists this small RNA (334 nucleotides) under Pan troglodytes (chimpanzee). RNAcentral describes it as "processed transcript". Lineage: Eukaryota; Metazoa; Chordata; Mammalia; Primates; Hominidae. The record is from RNAcentral.
UACUUCCUCAUCACAGACAUCUCAGACUUCAGUGAGUGAGACUUGCCGGUCUGGGCAGGGCACAGGGGCUGGAGGCUGCAGGGGGCUCAGUGUGGCCUCUGUCUCCCAGAGAGGAAGAUGCCUGACUUGCCUGGAGCUGUGGAUGAGCCCUAUGACAGACGCUUCGUCAAGUGGAUGAUCAAGAACAAGGUGGGCUGGGCCUCUGCCAGGCAGCCAUGUAUGGUUUCACAGGUUGUGUGCUGCUCAAGGGUGCCCAGGCAAGAGGCUCCUGGGCUAGAUCUUAGUCCAGCCUCUGCCGUCAACCUUGGGGCAGGGUUGUAUCCACUUCAGAGAA